RNAcentral lists this ribosomal RNA (433 nucleotides) under uncultured bacterium. RNAcentral describes it as "partial 16S ribosomal RNA". It matches the Rfam family "Bacterial small subunit ribosomal RNA", at positions 29 to 507 of the family's 1533-position model. The record is from RNAcentral.
AACGAACGCUGGCGGCAUGCCUAACACAUGCAAGUCGAACGAGACCUUCGGGUCUAGUGGCGCACGGGUGCGUAACGCGGGGGAACCUGCCCUUAGGUUCGCAAUAACUCCCCGAAAGGGGUGCUAAUACCGGAUAAUGUCUUCGGACCAAAGAUUUAUCGCCUUUGGAUGGGCCCGCGUUGGAUUAGCUAGUUGGUAGGGUAAAAGCCUACCAAGGCGACGAUCCAUAGCUGGUCUGAGAGGAUGAUCAGCCACACUGGGACUGAGACACGGCCCAGACUCCUACGGGAGGCAGCAGUGGGGAAUAUUGGACAAUGGGCGAAAGCCUGAUCCAGCAAUGCCGCGUGAGUGAUGAAGGCCUUAGGGUUGUAAAGCUCUUUUACACGGGAUGAUAAUGACAGUACCGGGAGAAUAAGCUCCGGCUAACUCCGUG